Molecule: ribosomal RNA, 598 nt
Rfam family: Bacterial small subunit ribosomal RNA
CCGCGUGAGGGAUGACGGCCUUCGGGUUGUAAACCUCUUUCAGUAGGGAAGAAGCGAAAGUGACGGUACCUGCAGAAGAAGCACCGGCUAACUACGUGCCAGCAGCCGCGGUAAUACGUAGGGUGCGAGCGUUAUCCGGAAUUAUUGGGCGUAAAGAGCUCGUAGGCGGUUUGUCGCGUCUGUCGUGAAAGUCCGGGGCUUAACCCCGGAUCUGCGGUGGGUACGGGCAGACUAGAGUGCAGUAGGGGAGACUGGAAUUCCUGGUGUAGCGGUGGAAUGCGCAGAUAUCAGGAGGAACACCGAUGGCGAAGGCAGGUCUCUGGGCUGUAACUGACGCUGAGGAGCGAAAGCAUGGGGAGCGAACAGGAUUAGAUACCCUGGUAGUCCAUGCCGUAAACGUUGGGCACUAGGUGUGGGGACCAUUCCACGGUUUCCGCGCCGCAGCUAACGCAUUAAGUGCCCCGCCUGGGGAGUACGGCCGCAAGGCUAAAACUCAAAGGAAUUGACGGGGGCCCGCACAAGCGGCGGAGCAUGCGGAUUAAUUCGAUGCAACGCGAAGAACCUUACCAAGGCUUGACAUGUUCUCGAUCGCCGUAGA